GAUGAAGAACGCAGCGAAAUGCGAUAAGUAAUGUGAAUUGCAGAAUUCAGUGAAUCAUCGAAUCUUUGAACGCACAUUGCGCCCUCUGGUAUUCCGGGGGGCAUGCCUGUUCGAGCGUCAUUAUCACCCCUCAAGCCUCUGGUUUGGUGUUGGGCUUUGGCGGUUCGUGAGAACCACCGGCCUCAAAUAUAAUGACGGCGUCCCCGUGAGACUCGACGCACUGAGCUUUUAACCACAAGGCACGCGUCCGUAGCGCUCCGGGUCGACAACCGGUCUCAACUUUUUACCAUUUUAACAAGGUUGACCUCGGAUCAGGUAGGGAUACCCGCUGAACUUAAGCAUAUCAAUAAGCGGAGGA
RNAcentral lists this unclassified non-coding RNA (358 nucleotides) under soil metagenome. Its description in RNAcentral is "partial contains 5.8S ribosomal RNA, internal transcribed spacer 2, and large subunit ribosomal RNA". The stretch from base 1 to 120 matches the Rfam family "5.8S ribosomal RNA", at positions 35 to 154 of the family's 154-position model. The record is from RNAcentral.